Molecule: ribosomal RNA, 253 nt
Filed under: uncultured bacterium
Lineage: Bacteria
Description: partial 16S ribosomal RNA
Rfam family: Bacterial small subunit ribosomal RNA
Source: RNAcentral
UACGUAGGUGGCAAGCGUUACUCGGAAUUACUAGGCGUAAAGCGCAGGUAGGCGGUUGGGUAAGUCCUUAAUGAAAUCUCCCGGCUUAACUGGGAGGGGUUUAGGGAUACUGCCUGACUCGAGUGUGGGAGAGGUCACUGGAAUUCCUGGUGUAGCGGUGAAAUGCGUAGAGAUCAGGAGGAACACCUAUGGCGAAAGCAGGUGACUGGACCAAUACUGACGCUGAGCUGCGAAAGCUAGGGGAGCAAACAGG